UAUUCCAUAUACAGGUUGCAUGUGUGUUUGC
This 31-nucleotide non-coding RNA is filed under the name Mus musculus (house mouse). The record is from RNAcentral. Lineage: Eukaryota; Metazoa; Chordata; Mammalia; Rodentia; Muridae.